UCGCAUGCGCCCACCUAACAAAUAAAAGAUUACCAAGUCACAGGCUGAAUGAUUUUGUUAGGGAACAGCUGACUAGGCUGUGUGGAUGAGGAUUUGUUUCUCUGGGGACAUUAUCCGAAGAAAGAUCAUGUCUGAAAGCGAACAAGACGUUGAAGAUCCGGAUCAAUUGGUUAUUUGCCCGUACGAUUCCUCUCACAAGGUAACAGCCGCUCGAAUGGGACAUCAUUUGAUGAAGUGUAGAGGAAACUUUCCGAUCAGUGAAAAGGCCAUAUGUCCGUUCAACGACAAACAUGAGAUUUUUGCCCCAGAAAUGGACUAUCAUCGAUCAGUCUGUCCUCACAAACCAGUAGAAAGUGAAAUACAGCAAGAUGUUAACGACACGAUCGACACUGAUGGGGGAUUUCCGAAAGACAAAUUAUUGGGAAGUUUUUCAUCUGGAACUUCUUUUAAUUUUUCGUCGGGCGAAGCGAAUGCGACCGGAUGCGAGAGUGGGCUUGAUGUAGUAGGCGGCAUACGAAAUUUCAUUGGAGAAGUAGAUGAAAUUGGUACGAUGGUUUUUAACGAACCAAAUGGCGAAAACCAGCACGCGCAAAACAGAUUAGGCCAAGACUAUCGUGAUAUGGAGGAAAACGAUUUAGUUUUACCCAUAGUCGAAUUAAAGUCGCCCAACCACAAUAAAUCAAUUGAAAAGCAAUUAGAACAAUCGGAAAGUGACAUAACUUCUAAAACUAACAGCUCCAUAGAAAGCGAUGAAAGGUUCUGUGAAGAGGAACGGUUUGACUACACAAAAUACAUACCUAGCAAGGAUCUUAAAGAGGACUUUCUCAAGUUGAUUGGUCAACCCAGAAAUGGCCAGGUGUACGAGACCAAAUGUCAGUCUGGAGGUCAGUCAUUUGCCGUUCAACAAUGGCCACAAGGUUACAAUGCUCUCCCCGCGCUAUUUCAAACCAAUAAUGGUUUCCAGGCGACCGGAAUACAACCAACUUUUGUUUCAUUUAACAUGAUGCCACCAGUAGCAUCAUGCCAGCUUCCCUACACAAGCUCGUAUGGUUUCCAUAACCAGACUCCUGGUCCAGGAUUCCUUCAGGCACCAGGUCAAGGAUUAGGCUACGACUACACUGGGUAUCCAUCAGCCAGGCCUAGCUACUAUCGAUCUUACUACCGACGUCGAAACUACUACAGUUCUUCUCGUUACAGUAACCACAAAAGCUACAACACUCAAAACCAUGAAAACCAUGAAAACCAUGCUGAAACAUUCUUCAAUGGCUUAAACCAGUCAGAGAUUGGUUUGGGUGAAAGUAGUUGUUAUCUAAACAAAUUAAAUGGUACAAAAAUUCAUGAUGAAAUACCAACUUCCCACUCUCUGUGUAUCAGCAAUGGGUGUGACAAAGAGCAACCGUUAUUACCUCCACAUCUCAGCAAAAACAAUUUUUAUUUCAAGAAUAAGGUGGAUGAUGUUGAUGGGCAGGAGCAGCUUGCUGGUUUUGAUCAAGUUCCCAACAAAAUAAUCACUGGAGACUCUAGUGCUGAAGGAAUGGCAAAUCACCAUGGCUCUCAACAAGACUUAAAAAGAAAAGAAAUUGAGAAGCAGAUCCGUAAAAUUAAAAAGAAAUUGGCUGAGAUAAAUGGUCUGGAAGAGAAGUACCAUAAGGGUGCUAGCUUGGACUGCGACCAACUAAAGAAGAUGUCAAGAAAGGGUGAAUUUGAAGAUCAACUGCAGUCACUUAAUUUGCCAUAGGAUUAAGUGGACAAAGUUCCUGGAAACAAUGGAUUGCCUGUAGAAUUUUACAAGACUUUUUGAGAUAGGCAAGAUGUCUUCUUUCAAGCGAUUAGGCCAUUUUAAGGAAGCUGCUGUGUUAUUUACUUGUCAGUUGUCAACCAGUACUUACUCCCAGUGAAACAGAUCAGCAUGGAACAUCCCAUGGAUUUGAAAGGGUAACCAAGGAUUCAAGUAACUGAUAUGGAGGUGCACCGACCAUUUGUCUCUGGUAUUGCACUAAGUUAAUGGGGUGUAGGUUCAAUAGUAACAUCUCUUGUGAUGUUUGUUAAGGGAUUUUUUUUGGUCCUUUAUUUGUUAUGUAACUUAUUUGGAUAUAUCUUGGGGUGGUACAUCUUACACCUUCCUGUCACUUUUGUCUUUGAUUAACUCCAAGGGAGGGAUACUGCUGAUUGGACUGGACUCAUUGUAUUGUCUCAGUGUUAGUAUGUUUAAACUUUUAUCUUUUACCAUGACCAGCCAGUUUUAGAAUAAGACAUGCUUUGACUGAAUGUCUGUUUUAUGAAUAAUAAUUAUUAAACAAUUAUUGUUUAAGAAUUGUCAUUGACUGACUUGUGACUGAAGUCUCAAGCCUUGGGAACUGAAAAACAAUGCACCUACAAGUAUCGUGAAGAUUACUGUGAGGUACCAUACAACAGAGCUUCCAAGAGCUCAGCUACAUCACAAAAAAAUUGUUCAAUAUGUACACCAUUUUUUUCAUUUGUGAGUUAUAUUAUAUACAUUCUACAUACAUUCAUACUAAAUGAUCUUGCAUAGACUUAAAUUAGAUUUUGCUCAGGAAAGUUUACAAAUUUUACUUACUUACAUUUACCAUCUGGCAUGUAUUUUGACAGUUUCAUCUGGUUAAUUGUGAUAUGUUAACAUAUGAUUUUCUCCACCAAAUUAAUUUGUCUGAAGGAAACUGCAAUUUGCUUGAUUGGCAG
RNAcentral lists this unclassified non-coding RNA (2700 nucleotides) under Orbicella faveolata. RNAcentral's name for it is "uncharacterized LOC110067942, transcript variant X1". The record is from RNAcentral. Lineage: Eukaryota; Metazoa; Cnidaria; Anthozoa; Scleractinia; Merulinidae.